Non-coding RNA from Stegodyphus mimosarum, 74 nucleotides. The record is from Rfam. NCBI's taxonomy places the organism in Eukaryota, Metazoa, Arthropoda, Arachnida, Araneae, Eresidae.
GCCUUCGUGGUGUAGUGGUCAGCACGCUCGACGCGUAAUCGAGAGAUCCUUGGUUCGAUUCCUGGCAAAAAGUA